This 28-nucleotide non-coding RNA is filed under the name Mus musculus (house mouse). Lineage: Eukaryota; Metazoa; Chordata; Mammalia; Rodentia; Muridae. The record is from RNAcentral.
UGCCACUAAGGCAUGAUGGUUGGUUGUC